RNAcentral lists this ribosomal RNA (96 nucleotides) under Mytilus coruscus. Lineage: Eukaryota; Metazoa; Mollusca; Bivalvia; Mytilida; Mytilidae. The record is from RNAcentral.
CUACGACCAUAUCACGCUGGAAACACCGGUUCUCGUCCGGAUCAUCGAAGUUAAGCAGCGUCGAGCUCGGUUAGUACUUGGAUGGGUAUUCGCCUA